UAAGUUGUUGCAGUUAAAAAGCUCGUAGUCGGAUUUUGGCUGAGAACGGUCGGUCCGCCGUUAGGUGUGCACUGACUGGUCUCAGCUUCCUGGUGAGGAGGUGUGCUUCAUCGCCACUUAGUCACCGUGGUUACUUUGAAAAAAUUAGAGUGUUCAAAGCGGGCUUACGCUUGAAUAUAUUAGCAUGGAAUAACACCAUAGGACUCCUGUCCUAUUUCGUUGGUCUCGGGACGGGAGUAAUGAUUAAGAGGAACAGUUGGGGGCAUUCGUAUUUCAUUGUCAGAGGUGAAAUUCUUGGAUUUAUGAAAGACGAACUUCUGCGAAAGCAUUUGCCAAGGAUGUUUUCAUUGAUCAAGAACGAAAGUUGGGGGCUCGAAGAUGAUUAGAUACCAUCCUAGUCUCAACCAUAAACGAUGCCGACUAGGGAUUGGCGGAUGUUAAUUGAUGACUUCGCCAGCACCUUAUGAGAAAUCAAAGUUUUUGGGUUCCGGGGGGAGUAUGGUCGCAAGGCUGAAACUUAAAGGAAUUGACGGAAGGGCACCACCA
This 546-nucleotide ribosomal RNA is filed under the name uncultured Chlorophyta. RNAcentral describes it as "SSU rRNA". It matches the Rfam family "Eukaryotic small subunit ribosomal RNA", at positions 606 to 1172 of the family's 1831-position model. Lineage: Eukaryota; Viridiplantae; Chlorophyta. The record is from RNAcentral.